This 570-nucleotide ribosomal RNA is filed under the name Aeromicrobium sp. R5mixte.2. RNAcentral's name for it is "bacterial SSU rRNA". It matches the Rfam family "Bacterial small subunit ribosomal RNA", at positions 335 to 916 of the family's 1533-position model. Lineage: Bacteria; Bacillati; Actinomycetota; Actinomycetes; Propionibacteriales; Nocardioidaceae. The record is from RNAcentral.
ACUCCUACGGGAGGCAGCAGUGGGGAAUAUUGGACAAUGGGCGAAAGCCUGAUCCAGCAACGCCGCGUGAGGGAUGACGGCCUUCGGGUUGUAAACCUCUUUCAGCAGGGACGAAGCGAAAGUGACGGUACCUGCAGAAGAAGGACCGGCCAACUACGUGCCAGCAGCCGCGGUAAUACGUAGGGUCCGAGCGUUGUCCGGAAUUAUUGGGCGUAAAGGGCUCGUAGGCGGUUUGUCACGUCGGAAGUGAAAACUCAGGGCUCAACCCUGAGCGUGCUUACGAUACGGGCAAACUAGAGGUAUGCAGGGGAGAACGGAAUUCCUGGUGUAGCGGUGGAAUGCGCAGAUAUCAGGAGGAACACCGGUGGCGAAGGCGGUUCUCUGGGCAUUACCUGACGCUGAGGAGCGAAAGCAUGGGGAGCGAACAGGAUUAGAUACCCUGGUAGUCCAUGCCGUAAACGUUGGGCGCUAGGUGUGGGGACCUUCCACGGUCUCCGUGCCGCAGCUAACGCAUUAAGCGCCCCGCCUGGGGAGUACGGCCGCAAGGCUAAAACUCAAAGGAAUUGACGG